Molecule: long non-coding RNA, 32128 nt
Filed under: Malus domestica (apple)
Lineage: Eukaryota; Viridiplantae; Streptophyta; Magnoliopsida; Rosales; Rosaceae
Description: long non-coding RNA (MDOM_LNC016067)
Source: RNAcentral
ACGAUCGGCGCCUAAAACAAUAAUCAAUUCCAACCUCAGAACUCAUAUCGAUAGAAUAUAUAACUUAUAUAAAAUACGUCACUACGUAGAUCGAUCCGGAAGAUCCACCACUCAGAUUUUAAAUCCAUAACUUCCAGAGGUCCACAUUAUACCUCUAGUACAACAUCCUAAAAUUUCAUUACCAUCCAACGGUCGGAUCUCCGUCAAUUUCCAAAACUAAGUGACGGUUACAUUCUAUUUUAUGAACUUACAACUCCAAUUCUGGAAGAUCCGUAAAUCGGAUUCCCAAUCCGUAAGUUCCAAUAAUCCUCAAAUAUUACGUAUUACAACGUAUCAAAGUUUGGUAACGAUCCAACGGUCGGAUCAUCAAUUCACAUUUUCACCUAAUGCGAAAACUAUAAAACAUUAUUUAAAGCACCUAACCAAUAAUCGUAAUAACUUUCUCAUACGGUGCUCAAUUUGGGUAUAUGAAUAUACCACAGUGAUCUACUCGACGUCACGAACGUCGAAAAAUUUUUAAAAUAAUUUUUUACUGUAGCACGCGCCCCCACGCGCACCUUCUUCUUCCUUGGGUCGCCGGACUGGUUUUUCCGGCGGCCGUUUUUCAAAUUGCCAUAACUUUGUCAUUUCUCAACGAAAUCAAGUGAUUCAAAAACGAAAGUUGUAGCCCUUGAAGAGACAAAGAGAAUGGUACCUUGAACAACACCUAGUUCGCCGUGGUUUGGCCGGAAACUGCCUCGAAAGCCUCGGAGGUCGCCGGAAACUGGGUAUUUUUCAAAUGAGUAUAACUUCUUCAAUACUCAACGAAAUUGAGUGAAACAAAAAGGAAAGUUGUAGUACUUGACGAGACGAAGAGAUUGAUACCUACCUCGACUCCUAACUCACCGGGGAUUCGCCGGAAAAUGCCUCGAAAGCUCCGGCCAAACUUUGAACUUGUCGAUCUCCGUGUUCUUACGUCCAAAAACUUCCAACGAAGCACUCCGAGCUUCCUUGGGACCUCACUAAGCUCGCUGUGAUCUUUUUUUAGCCUAAAACGUAGUCAUUUAGAAGAUCAUGAACAGUACCAUUUCACGGGAACUUUGAAACUAGGGUUUUCCGAAGCAAAACUUACCUGAAAUGGAUACCAUCGUGAUCGUGGAGGUUCCAUGAGUUUGAUGGUGGUCUUAACUCCGUCGUUGGUAGAAGUUAGGGUGGUUUUGGAGUUUGUCCGUGCAUUUGAGAGGGAGAGAACAGAGAGUGAGAGUUCGUGAGGGAGGAGAGAGAGAGACAGGGUACGGGAAAGAGGGAAGGAUUUGAGGUGUGUGGGAUCCUACCCAAUCCCAACUACAAAAUUCUAUCAUAAAAUUUAAGUCUAAAUCUCCACUCUAAUUACCAAAGUUUAGGAGCUUAGAUAUAACGAACGUGAAAAUUAUACCUUAGUCACGUAUUAGGGACAUUUCCGUUAAUUCACCAUCACGAGUGUAAAACUUUGGGACGGGCUGUGACAAUAAACAACUAUAAAUUUUAAUUUUUAAUUUAAAAAAUAUAGUAACGUACAUAGAAAUAAAUUAUCAAUUAAUUUUAGGGACUUGGAUCAAAAAUUGAAAACCAACAAAGUUUCAGUCAAAGAUUAUUCAUAACUAGGGACCGCAUCCAAAGUCUCCCUAAAAUUAAAGAGAGUGUGUUUAAUUGGGAUUUUAAGAAAUUUUAAUGGAUAUAAAUUAAUAGAUUUUUAUAGAGUUUAAUUGAUUUGUAUGGAUUUUAUGUAAAAUUUUAAUUCAAUUCUCUUAAAAUUUCUUAGAAAUAUGUGAGAUAUGUAUAUGCUUUACAAUAUAUUACUAAAUAUCUUUAAUUCCCUCAAAUUCCUCAACAUUUUAAAUCCUCUAAAAUAAAUUUCUAAAUGAAUACACUUUGAAUUUCAAUGAAUCUUAAAAUCCUUAUUGAAUAUCCCUAAAUUUGUUAAAAAUAAUUAAAAUCCGUCAAAAUUCCAAUUGAAAUUCCUCAACAUUUUAAAUCCUCAAAAUCAGUUUCUAAAUGAAUACACUUUGAAUUUCAAUGAAUCUUAAAAUCCUAAUUGAAUAUUCCUAAAUUUGUUAAAAAUAAUUAAAAUCCGUCAAAAUCCAAUUGAAAUUGAAUACAUCUUAAAACUUUAAGAUUGCGUGUGAUUAUGUAAGUUAUGUGUAGCUUAGACAAGUAUAAUAUUAAUAUUAUGUCAACCGUGCACAAAAUAGUAAUUAUCCUGACUCGAUUAUUAUUAGUAAAGAAUCGCACCCUAAAUACAUUAAAGACUCAUAAUCUUACCCUAAUCAUCUCACAAUAUUGUUUUCAGUAGAAUUUCCUCGUUUGAGCAAAUUAUUAGCAAACAAAACAAAGGGAACAAAUUGGCAAUCUUAAUUCCUCAGCAAAAAUCAACAAAAUAAAUAAAUAAAUCCCUUGGCGAAUACCCAAAAAAAGGAAGAAAUUGACAAUUCUUAAUUUCCCUUAUUCAACAUGGCAUAAAAUCCACCAAUCGUAGCCGUCAGAUCAAGAACUUUUUAUUAUCUUAAAACAAAUCAAGGACUUCAAUUCUAAAUGCUCGUACACCAGUAAGGAUACUUGCCGGAUCCUCUUUAUGAGAAUCUGGAAAUCUUCCAAUUACAUUCGUUCAUCAUAUAUCAUACAAUUAUUUUUUAUCAGGUACCAUUUAUAUUUAAUUUUAAAUAAAUAAAAUAUAAUAAUCUCUAAUCGUAUAAUAUACGAUGAAUAUAUGUAAUAUGAAGAUUCUCAAUCCUCACAAAAAGGAUCGGCGAGGAUUCUCACUCGUUGUACAAUAUCCGUUUAGUUUUGGUGGGACCCUCCCGAACUGUGCAAAUAUGAAAAUUCCCUCCAACUCCAGACUCCUGAGAGAGGCGGUGGGCCGAGAGAGGAGAAUAAAUCGGACCAGGAUUUGGAGUAAAACACAAACAAAUCGCCUAUAAAUUCCAACCUUCACAUCAGAUUCUCCACACCACCUAUUACUCUCUUCUUCUCUGCCGCUCCCCUCUGAGUUUCUCUCCCCUUUAUCUGGAGUUGGAGCCGCCGCAGGGCGCUUCUCGGCUCCCUGUUGCCGUCGUCUGGUGCGUCUUGAUUUCUCUCCUCUCUCCGUGUUGGGUUUUUUUUUUUUUAAUUUUUUUUUAAUUUGUAUCUGGGGUGUUUGAGUUUUCGGUUGAUUGCAUUGUAUCGUGAAUGAAUUUGAGUUUGCUUGCGUUUUGUUUUCUUGGUUUUUAUAUCCAACUGUUGUUUUCUUUGCGAUUUGAUUCAGGAACUGGUUGUUUUUUUUGUUAGGUUUAUGAUUCCUGGUGUAAAUUUUGUAGAUUUGGCUCCAGAAACAAAAGAGAAGAAAAAAUAUUAUAAAUUUGGGGUUUUUUUUUUUAUGUUUUAUAUGUAAAUUAUGCCGAUGAUAAUUGUAUUCCUGUUUUAUUUGGGGUUUUAGGGUUGGGGUUUUGUACCCAAGUUCGAGUGGUGAUCGUAUCAGUACGUUCGGUUUCUUUUUUUAGAUCCUCAAUUUUCGGUUAGUAUUGUAUGUUUUUCUUUUGGUUGAUUUCGAGAGAAUGUGAAAUUAAGCUAUAAAUUGGGUUUUGUAUUUUGGAUUAAUUCUGUUAAUAUCAAAUAGAAUUUAACACCACCUUUGUGGUUGCAGAGAUGGCAAAUCAAUCAGAAAAUCCACCAACAGCAACGGACGUGGGCGAGAAUUUUAUAAACCAAUACCAUCAAGUCUUUCGAGAUGAUUCUAAGGUGCUCCAUAAAUUUUAUCAGGAUUCAAGUGUGAUAUCUCGUCCUGAACAAGAUGGUUCGAUGAAGUCAGUGACAGCUAUGGAAGUAAGCCUUGUAAAAAGUUUUAAUAGUUUCUUUAGCUGCUCUUUCGUGCUUCUUUUGCCUGCAUUGGUCUUUGGCAGCCUUAGUUAUUGUAAAUUUUCAUGAUGCAUUCAUUCGGUUUUCCCGCUUUUCCUUGUUUCUCUGUUAGCUGAAAAAUUUAGGAUGUUUAAGCAGGGUUUUAGUGUUAACUGGAGUUCUCCUAUUCUGAUGAUUUAAUUGGAUGUUUGUUUUGAAACAGGGCAUUGAGAACAUGCUACUGUCCUCGGGUUACCACAAUUAUCGUGACUUAAAAAUAUUGACUACCGAUUCUCAGUUUUCACUCAAUGGUGGAGUGAUUGUUUUAGUGACUGGGUAUUUAACUGGAGAUGACAAAGUGCGAAGAAAAUUUACUCAAACUUUCUUUCUAGCCCCACAACAGCACGGAUACUUUGUCUUGAAUGAUAUCCUUAAAUACUUGGAUGUUGUGCCAGAUAAUGUUGUCGAAAGUACACCAGAAGCUCCUGUUCCCUCGAACCAUGGUAUGUUAUAUGGUGUAUGCGAUUUCAAAUAUAAUUUUCCAUUUUUUAUUUUUUUUGGGGUUGGCUUUUGGUAAACAAAUUAUUUAUGGAUAUUAUGUUAUCAGUUGUUACAGAGCCCUCCGCUGUCGCUGAUCAGCCCGUGGUCAGUCAAACUACCCCUUUGGAGGUUGAGAUCACUAAUGAAAAGAAAGCCAAUAAUGUGAUGGAGACUGUUCCGGAACCUGUUACCAAAUACAAUGUGAGUGCUGAUAAUCCCAUUGAAUCAAGACAGAGUGUUACCCUGAAGGCAACGGAGGACGCAGCUCCUAAAGCCCAGAAGGAUGCUCCAAAGAAGUCUUUUGCAGCAGUGGUGAGUUAAUGUUUAGGUUGUAUAGUAGUUGGUACUUGGUAUUACUAGACUUGUGCUUAUCAUCUGAUUGUUUCUUGGUUCAGGUGAGUGCUUUGAGCGAGAAUAAAGCUCCAUUUGUUGUGAGGACACCUGUACGCAAACCUGCACCCAAACCUGUUGAGCAGCCGCGUGCACCUGUAACGCCUGAAGCUUUACCUCCCCGAAACAACCGUGCUGUGGAAAAGAAUAAUGUCCCUGCAGGUUGAUAUUCUUUUUAUGGUGUAGUAUUAAAUUUUACCAUUUUACCUGUUUUGGUUGUGCCAGUUAAUGAGGUGUCAUAUAACUUUCUCACUGUUGGAAUAAGUAUUCAUACUUUGUACCCUUCUUAUUUGUCGUUGCAGUUAAGUCUCAUGCCAUUUUCGUUGCCAAGUUGCCCAUGGAUGCAACUCAUGAAGAACUGGAGAAGAUAUUCAAGCCUUAUGGACCCAUCAAGCGCAAUGGGAUUCAAGUUCGAAGCCAUUGGGUAUGCUUUACGUCUUUUGUGUAUUCGUCUUGAUUUAAGCCUUUGGUGUAUUGUUUCUCACUCGUCCUGCAUCACACUUGUACAUCCAGGAUCAGGGAAACUGUUUUGGGUUUGUGGAAUUUGAAUCUGCUGACUCCAUGCAACGUGCACUUCAGGCAUCUCCUAUCAAAUAUGGCAAUUAUGAGCUACAAAUUGAAGAGAGACGAGGCAAGUUGCAAUGUUAUUCAUCAUUCUUUCUGAAUUAUGUGCAUUGCUUUUGUAGAAAUUACUCUCUUUCCUCCACCAUUGCCUUUGUCACAAUUGCUCAUACGAAAAUGUCCUAUGUCCAACAUGUUUAAAAUAAAAACUCUUAUCUGCUGUCUCCUAUCUUUUCCUCGCUGCGCUCAUUUCUUUCUCAUCACCAAUGCAGAAACAGUAUCAAACGAACCCAUGUGUUCUAAAAUAAUUUUACAUUGCCAAAAGACCAUAACCUUAUAUCUGUGGUAAAAAAUACAAAUGUGUUAUCACUCAAAAUAUGCUUGGGAGAUGGCAUGCUUGAUUGCUCACGACUUAUUUUAUGCUUGCAGCCAGCGACAAAGGAAGGUUCUCAUCGGGAAGGGGUGGAUACCAAAAUGACAACUUUAGGGGCCGUGGGAACUACAAUGGAGGCCGCGGAAACUACAAUGGAGGCCGUGGUUAUGGAAGAGACGAUCAUGAGAAGAGGGGUGAAUACCGUGAAUUCUCCGGUCCAGCUGCCGGGCGCAAUGGAGAAGCUUAUCAGCACCAGAGACCUUACCAGAAUGGAGGAAAAGCUCCUCGUCAAACAUCAAAAUCUGCAGCUUAAGUUAGGUUAAGGAUCUUAUCAGGUUGAAACAUAUAAGAAAAAGCUUAUUUACUUAAGAGAUUUCAUACACUAGGCGUUUUUGGUAGGCAGAAGUUAGAGAGCGGCCAUAUUACGAGGUUCUUUACCUUGCUCACUUUUUCGAGUUUUCUUCGGUUUAAAAAAUUUUGUAACUAUAUUUUGGUGGAAUAAUUAUUAUUGGAAGCUUCAUAAUUGAGUAACGUUAGGAAAGACCAUAUAAUUGAGUAACAUUAGGAAGAUCAUAUAUUUAUACUACAUCAGAUGAUACACAUAUGUGAUACAAAAAUAUGGUCUCUUCAACAUUUUUCUUCAUAGUUAUGCUGAUUAUUUUGUGUCAUAUGUUUGACAUCAUCGAAUGAUUGGUGUUGAAGACCAAAUUGAGCAUAUAUGUGCGUAGCUAAGUUGUUAUUUAUCGCACAAUUUGUUGUCCUUACACUCAAAAAAGCAAAUAUUUAACGUGAUUCUGAUUAGAUUAGAGUAUCACUUGAAUAAGAAAAAUGCAUAUUUUCGAUUUGCCCCCUGAACUUGUAUAGAGGUGCUAAUUUCCUCCCUUGAACUUUAAUUUUAACCAAUUACCUUCCUAAACUUUUAUAAUUAGCCAAUUUCCCCCUUGAACUUUAAUUUUAGUCAAUUACUUCCUAAAUUUUUAUAAAUAGCUAAUUUUCCCCCUGAUGCUAGAUUUAAAAAAACAAUCAUCCAUUCAAUUUUUUUAUCCAUUUUGAUCAUGCUGACAAUACAUGACAAUGUAUUGGGGCAAAAAGAAUGGAAAAUUGGAUGGAUGAAAAUUUUAAAAAAUUUAGAAGGGUAAUCUGCUAAAGUUAAAAUUCAUAAAAGAAAUUGACUAAUUAUAAAAAUUUAAAAAGAUAAUUGGUUAAAAUUAAAUUAAAAUUUAAGCGAAAAAUUGACACCUCUGUAUAGAAGGCAAACCAACAAACACCAUUAAAAAAUACACGAGGAUGUGGCUUUUGUUGGUACCAGAGUGACAGAACAUGUGGGGAUACAAUACUUUAUGAGACAGAUGUAUGCAGGCAGGGGUUUUUAAGUCAUUUCGAAGAUGGUGUAAAACACAACCUUGUUUAUUGUCUGUGGAUUGCAAUCCUUAACCAACACGUGGCGGCCUGAAGUAUCCACCAACAAUUUCACACUCUCCCACUCUCCCAAAUAUGAAACACGUUUUCAAAGGACAAGUGAAAAAGGACCAGGAUCCUCUUCUGAGCAGAUGGAGAGGAUCCUCCUGAUCAGGUUUAUCGGUCCGUUUAUUUUUUAUCCAACGGUUACAAAUAGGGGGUCCCUCUAAAGUUAUAAUAAUUAUAACCGUUGGAUAAAAAAUGAACGGCCCGAUGAGCUUGAUCAGAAGGAUCCUCUUCAUCAGCUCAGGAGAGGAUCCUGAUCCAGUGAAAAACUGCUACUUUCCCGUCCAUACUAUUCCCAUACAAGAUAGAUCAUGAGCGACGCGUAGCGUCUUUGACAGAUGGAGCGUGGAGGGGAUGCAAAAUGUGCAGUCACACAGAAUCUCAAAUUUGAAGGGGUCUCUACAAUUUUUGCCACUUAAUAUUUAUAUGUAAUAAUAUUCUAUAUUUAAAAUUGCUUUUAUUAUGAGAUAAUAUUCUAUAUUAAAAUUUUGAUUUUAUUAGCACAUUAAAAUCUCAUCUUAGACUCCUUAUAAGCGUAAUUUUUUUUAUUUUCUAAAUAUAAAAAUUUAGAGCACAAUAAGAUAUUUUGAGUGCUAAUAAUACACCAUAAAAGACGGUAUUUUUUUAAUAUUAUUAUAUAAUAAUGUUACAUAUUCAAGUGAAACUUUAAAGUUAGAGUUUUUGAAGUUUGUUUUCUUGUUUGGUUGUUUAAGAGUGAAGUGCUUUUGAUUAUUUAGUGAAUGUUAUGUUUGUAGCUCUUUUACUUAUUAUUAGUAACAUUUUUAAACUUGCAAUCAGUGAGUGCUAAACUUUGUUUUGAUUUAAGUAAUUAUUUUUUAGUGUCAAUACAUUGUCCUACAUUUUUUAAGACUAUCUUAAGGAGAGACGCUUUUAUAAAUUUCGCACAGGGCCCCUAAAAUCUUAGAGACGACCUUGGUCUGUGAUAGUUAAAGGUUUGUUGCAAGCGUUUGCAGAGAGAUUAGUAUAUGUGAAAGAAGAUUGAACCUCUCUAUUUAGUAUUCUUUGAGGUCAUUUGUACUGCUUUGCCGAACCGUUUAACAUAAUGGAAAAAAAGUAUUGAAAUGUAUAGCUAUUUCAAAUAUACGCAAUCAUGUUAAUUAAGUAGUAGAUAUGAUAUCUUUUAUGCACAUGUAUUUGAAUUCUUUUUUUUAUACAUUUUGGAUUAGUUUAAAAUAAACACCGUUCGAAUAAAAAAUUUAAUUUUUGUUUUAAAAUGAAUUACUAGCAUUUAAAAUAGACUUAUGCACUAUUUUCUACAUUUCUCACUAUUAAAAAAAGUGCAUGGUUACGUUUAUAAUGUGCAAAAUAACUCCCUUUAUUUUUCGGUUGAUGAAAUCGAAUUUCUUUUGGCAAAAAAGUAAGGAAAAAAAGUAGGCCAAAACUCUUCUAAAAAAAAAAAAAAAAAAAAGGCCAAAAAUACCAGACGACAUGUCGCUCUCAGAAGUUGGUGAUUGCUAUGUUGGACACGUGGAUACCAGACACGUAGCUAGUUGUACUAUUUUCUAGGGUGUGGGAAUCUGUAACUUGCCACUGCGGGUCCCACUUCUUUUACCCAUGAAAAUUUAUGAUGACGACAUGUUUCUUGUUUGGACGCACGUGCAUCCCACUCCACUCGCCCAUUUUCCUCCUAGUUGACUUUGUGGGUAAUAGACUUUGACCACACCGUCUUAACAGAGAGCAACUUACAUUGUACACCGUUGCAUAUAAAAAAAAACUAAUAAAAAUAAUUUGAAAACUUUGAGUUUUAACGAUAAUGAUAAAAUAAAGGGCAAAAUGAAUAGUAUCAUGAUGACUUUUUAUAUAAAAAUAUGAUUUUUCUAUGAGUGCGUGCUAUUUCUUUUACUAGAAAAUAAAGGUGCGAAUCUAAUAUCAUUAUAGAACAUGAGUGCAAUCAGUCUUAUAUUUGGUUUAACAGUUAUUUCGUACACUCAAUUUUAAUUUGUAUGAAAUUUAAUACUUUUAUUUGGGUCAAUCUUGGAUCAACAUGCUAUAACUAUCUUGUACGGUUUGACGGGUAAUCAGCAAUACAUAUUCUAACUCUUGACUUUUCAUGUAUUAAUAAUAGACACGAGAAGUUCAGAAUUGUAAUGUUUCUAUUCAAUUAUACAUUGUGAUAGUACAUGUGCUUUUUUGUUAUUCAAUUUAUAUUUCAUUUACAAGUUAGACUCAAGUAAUGACACUUACGAAAGUCCAGGUUAAGAAACCAGCACGAUUUAUUAUUUCGUUGCUGCAAACCUAUAUCCGCGGAGUUUGUGGAAAAUCUACCUAAAAACACUACUUAUUGUCAUCUAACCUAAAAAGCUAUAAAAACUAGUUCCAUGCUAUACAUGUUAGGAUAUUGAAACAUAAAAUCUUACAAUUUACAACCAUAAUUAACAAUUGUCAUCUAACCUAAAAAGCUAUAAAAAAAACUAGUUCCAUGCUAUACAUGUUAGGAUAUUGAAACAUAAUAUCUUACAAUUAACAAUAUAAAAACUCAUCAAAAAUUAAAUUAUCAUAUCUAAAUCUGUUAGUUAAAAAGAUGACAGAGAAAGUAGUACUAGUCAAAUAAUUAAAACGACACCUAAGCAUGACCAACAAUAAAAUAAACAAACAAGAGUGGACAAGUAGUAGAAGGUGGAUUUUCGAUUGAGCAAUUUUAUCUGGUGUAGGUUUAUCUCUCAUCCGUUUUUUUCUCUCCCCUCGCAUUUAUGUUAACGGUCAUAAUUAAAUUAAGUUAACAUCUUGUGUUGACUUUUGUACAGUAAGAAAAAAACAAAAUAAAAAGUGUAAAGGAAAAAUUCUAAUUAGACUGUCUUCAAAGUGGACGUUUCAUAAACCCUCUACUACCUCAUCUUUGUAAAACAAUUCACGCUCUGACAUUAUAAAUAAUGUAUCAAAAAGAUUAAGUGUCGACAAUUCAUCGAAAAUUCUAAUCUAAAAGAGUCUCCUUAACAUUACAAAAAAUGAGGAGAAAAAGAAUUGGAGGAGAGAGAAAUCUAGCAGCAGCAGAGUGCAACAACCAAAACCCACGUCAAGGCAUUUUACGACAGGCCGAACCAGUCGGACCACGUGUCUCCUAACCGCUGUCUAUGUAUGACCGACACGUGGUUCUAUCCCCUCCUGAUUCUCUUCACGACACGUGUGUAGGCAAGGAUAGGUUACUGUUUCUGGUGGAGAUGCCAAAAAGAAAGUGCCUGUCCUGCUACGUGUCGGCACGGCAUUCCUCGAAUCAGCCACCCGCCUCCCCAAGUAGUUUUGCUUGUCAAAACGCCAAGGGCAUUUUCGGAAAUUUGACGAAAAUCUCUCUCUUUGUCUCUGCUUUUCUUUCCCUUUCGGGUUUUUUAUGCAAUACUUUCUUCUUUCGUUUUCUCUGCUUCCGUAAUCUCGGAUAUCUCUCGAGUUGGGAAAUAAACUCGGCCGAGUUGAAAACGGACGACUCAUAAAGUAGCAGAGAGAGAAACGGCUUUCUUUGGUGCGUCGUUCCUGAAUCGGAUUUGAACUGAAUGCUGCGAGCGUUUUCCUACUGUCAUCUAAAACAAGUUUCUGCUAAUGGGUUCUGCUGAUCAAAGCUUCAACCUUUCGAAUCUGCAGAUACAUACAAAUAGCUUCUGAAGUGUGUAUAUAUAUAUAUAUAUAUCUGUUUUUUCCAUGGGUGAAGCUAAUGAAUGGAGAAGGAGAGCAAUGGAAAAUCUGUCUCUGGAAAUGGAUAAGUACCCGAGAGAUCUGCUGCAGAGGUUAAUGUGCAGCAGAAGCAACGACGCGACGACGCGGUUACAAUAUGCGGACGCUAACGAGGAAGAGGAGUCGGAUGAGCUGGAGUUGAAUCUCGGGCUUUCGUUAGGCGGUCGGUUCGGGGUCGACAAGAGCGCGAAAAACAAGCUAAUCCGAUCUACGUCGAUUGCCGGGACGAUGCCGUUUGUGAGGGACGACAACGACGCGACGGCGCCGACGUACACGGCGGGGCUGAUGAGGACGUCUUCGCUUCCGGCCGAGACAGAGGAGGAGUGGAGGAAGAGGAAGGAGUUACAGACGCUGAGGCGGUUGGAGGCGAAAAGGAGGAGGUCGGAGAAGCAGAGGAACUCAAGGACAGAAAAAGAAGGGGGUUCUGUGGAGGAGGAAAAGCGCGAACUUGAGGGUUCAAUUGGGCCCAAUUCGGGCGGUGUCAGGGGUAAUCGGACGGCGGGCCCGCCUUUCGGGUUGCCUAGCUGGGUAGCGGCAGCAGUUGCUAGGCAAGCUGCUAGUGGUGGCGGUGGCGGAGUGGGUGCAAAUGCAUUGGUGAAAUUAAAAGGUGAGAAUUUGAGUGGUUUGCAAGGAUUUGGAAGGCGACCCAAUUCGCAGGGCUCGGCGGAGUCCCUAGGCGGAAGCUCGUCGGGGAUGUCGGAAUUGGAGAGUAAACCUCUUCAAGGUAUCUCAAGUUUUCUGAAUUCUGUUUCUUAAUCUGAAUUUUGAUGAAUUUUGGGAUUGAAAUUCAGUUGUUAAGUGAUUGAUUUUGCUUCGUUUACUGGGUUCUUCUAUUUUGUUUUGUUGAGGAAGAUGGAGUCUUAGGUUGUUUUCCCAUGUGGUCUUUCUUUUGUUCUUUGUUGUAUGUUGGGUGUUCUAAUCACCCGUGUGCUCGCUCUCUUUAGUUCAUGGAGUGCGAUGCAAAGUUGGUUGCUGAGAAAAAUUUGGAACGCGAAAGAGGACAUGAGUUCCUCAGCCUAGCUGACCUAACCAGUUGUUUUCGGUUAGGUUCGGUUCCCUUUAGUUCCCAGAAGGGAUGUAUCUUGUGGCUGCAUUUUUGUAAGACGCCGGUACAGAUCACUUUCCCGUCCAAGAGAGAUUCAAGAUGUAGCUGAUCAGCAUUCCCCUUCCGCCCUUCUGCGUGACAGAUUUUAUCCGAGUAUUUCCCGAGGGGGAUGAACGAAUGUUGCAGCACAUUCUGCAAGCCUGCAACAGCUGCACUGAUCUCUAACCUGUCCGAUAGUCUAGGUAGUUCCAAGGUAGGGCGACGGAUACAUUAGAGAACGAUUAUAAUGCACCGAGUAUUUUCUUCCUUGCCGCACAAGCGACAACAAUUCUGUAACUAAGCAGGUACAGUGUGCAAUUACCACCGGUGAUUCAUCUUCAACUGGAUUGUGAACAAACCGAGAUGCGGUAUGAGCAAUCUGGAGAAGUACUUAUCAAAGUUUCUAGUGCUCUAUGGAAGUUGUUUUCCAUUUGAUAUUGCAGCCUAAACCUAGACGUGGAUGCGAGAGCGGAACAUAUUGAUUAGCUUAUCGUCGGAACUGUACUCUUAUGAUGUAGUCAGGUAGUCUAUGGAAGUAGGUUUCUUGUCUGAGGCUGGCUUCUUUCCAUCUGUCUUCGUCGAUGUGAAAACUUAGUUUACUUCGAUAGAUUGAUAUGUAGUUCAACAGGCUCUUACCUGCAGUAUUUUUAAAUUUCCAAAUUUGCUAUGUGAAUUUGAAUUUGAAAAAAUAAGAUUCCACAAACAGGUGAAGGGAAUGGAACAAAAGAGGAAACACACAGCUACUUUUUCCUCAUUGUUUUCCCUUAUGAUCACAGGAACCAGUGGUUGCGGUGAAGCAAGAAGCGCUGUACCCUCUAGCAACCAGUUGCUGCAAGAACGAAGUAAUCAGGACAACGCUGUGGGCACUUCAGGCACAAGAACAGCAGAUGAUGCAUCCAAAACUCCCAAACCCGACAUAGAAAACCCAUCUAAGAAGCCUAGUUCGCAAGAAAACAGCGAAAGGGAAACGAGGAGGAACGCCAUGGAGGACAUGCCGUGUGUUUUCACAAUAGGAGAUGGCCCAAAUGGUAGAAAAGUUGAGGGAAUUCUGUACAGAUAUGGGAAGGGACAGGAAGUCAGAAUAAUGUGUGUAUGCCAUGGAAGCUUUCUGUCUCCGGCAGAGUUCGUGAAGCAUGCAGGAGGGAGUGAUGUCGCUCACCCGCUUAGGCAUAUUGUUGUAAACCCGGCUGCCGAAAUUUAAAUUUGAUAGCUUUUUUUUUUGUUUAUUUAUUUAUUUUUAUUUUUGGUGCGUUCUAGAAAUGGAGUUUAUCUAAAAAUAAUAUCUAUUAUCUAUUCAUGGUUUCGCAGAGUUUUAAAUGGCAUAUCUUCUAAAAGAGAAUAACUUCCAUGAAACGAUGGAACUCCACUAUUUUACUGGAAUGGGCUUGGUGGGUUUGGUUCAUGGGCGCUUGGCCACCUGUUUUUAUCAUUUUAAGACUACGCAUGACAGUAAGAUGUUGCGUUCUUUUCGUUAAAGCUCUAUAUAUUUCUCUUAUGAGUUUUGAAGAGACGAACAUGGAGUCCUCUUCUUACAAUCGUCUAGUUUCUCUUUUACGACAUGGAACACCCUGAAUCCGUUUCUUUUAAACAAUAACUGUUGUUCAUGAGGUUUGAACUCGGGAUUUCUUCCCAUAAAGUGAAGACUGAAUGCCACUAGACAGUAAGCUACUACCAAUCCUUCAGUUAAGAUUAUAGAUGAUCAAUUGCAAAUGAACUCAAGACAUAUACUAGUAUAACUGCAUGGUUGACAAAAUUUCUCAGCUCAGCAGAAUAUGCUUGUUGCAGGAAAAACAACAAACUGGAAACCAAAAUUCGACUACGCAGAAAUGUAUAAGUUACAAGCAUGUCAUACCUUCUAUAUUUCUAGGUUAUGAUCGAUAGCUCUAUACUUUGCUCAUUAUCCGGCUUCCUUGAAAUAGGUUGGAUUCGCUUUAAUCUUUGGACGACUUGCUUCAUUGUUGGCCUAAAGGCGAGGUUCUUGACUGUGCACGAGACAGCCAGAUUCAACAUCUCGACUAGAUCAUUCUGGGGUCCUGCAUCCCAUAACCCUUCUAUGAAGACCUCCUUAUCCAGACCCUGUUCUAACAGCAUGUCCACCCAAGACACAAUGUUGAAACCAUGGCCAUGUGACGAAAAUGAAGGGUCCAAUGCUUCUUUAUGUGACAUCAAUUCAAGCAGCAUAACACCGUAACUGUAAACAUCAGACUUUUCAGACACAUGGCAAGUCAUAGCAUACUCUGGUGCUACGUACCCAAAAGUCCCUGCCACACCAGUUGUUACGUGUGUUUCUGAAGUUCCCAAAAGCCUAGAUAAUCCAAAGUCAGACAAAUAAGCAUUGAACUCAUUAUCCAACAAUAUGUUACUUGGCUUGACAUCACGGUGAAGGACACGCGGAAUACACUCGCCAUGCAGAUAAGCAAGUGCUUGGGCUAUAUGCAAAGCAAUCUUGUGGAGAAUUUGCCAAUUAAAAGGCCUCUGAGAUCUCUCCUUGAUAAAUUUUUCCAAAUUCCCUCCUGGUAAAUAAUUGUAAAUGAGCAACAUCUCAGUUUCACUGGCAUGGUAACCUAUUAAAGUUACCAGGUUUGGGUGUCUCACCCUGCCAAGGGUUUUAAUCUCAGCAUGAAACUGUUGAACACCGUGAAACCUUCCAACAGCUAGCCUUUUUACAGCUACAGUGAUUCCUGGAGCAAUUUCGGCUUUGUAAGUGGCCCCAAAUCCUCCACUUCCAAUGUGGUGGCUGCCAUUAAAAUUCCCUGUUGCUUGAACAAUAAUCUCAAAUGUCAAAGGAGCCCCAAUGUCUGUAAACAGAGUCAUUUCUUUAUAUUCAAAACCCUGAACCCUGGAAUCUGGUAUCCAUUUUCUCGUAUAAAAGAAAAGGAUAACGAGAGAGAGCAGAACCAAAACAACAGCUGAUGCAGAUGCUAUGGAUGCGAUCUCGACUGAGCCUAAUCCACUGUUAUCAUCACCACCAGUAGUUGCUGAUGCGGAAUCAGGGUUAUGUUGUGAACUCCCAUUCCUAUCUAGCUGAUCUGAAGAUGGAGCAAUUAGCGGAACAUGGCAUGGAAUAAGGAAAGGAUUCCCAAGGACACUGCUGCAGUUCAUCGCACUAUUGUUCAAUGGAAAUGAACCAGACAGGUUAUUGAAGGAGGCAUUGAAUGUAGAUAGGGAUUUCAGAUUAGUCAAGCCUGAAGGGAUGUGCCCAGUGAGUUUAUUGUUGUCGAGCAAAAAAACAGUUAAAUUUUUCAAGUUCACAAGACCUUGAGGAAUAUCACCAGAAAGAGAAUUUGAAGACAGUUUUAGCACCUCAAGGGAGUGCAACCACCCAAAGCUAGCAGGAAUCGCACCAGUGAGGUUGUUGUUAGCCAGGGCAAGAUACUUAAGAUACUUCAACAGACUGAUACCGGAGGGAAUUUGACCUUGUAGCUGGUUCCUGCUCAAGUCAAGAAAGACAAGAGAUCUGCACGUCACACCAAUCCCAAAAGGAAUUCGACCUGCCAACUUAUUGUCGCUGACAUCAAUAAUCAUUCCAUCUAAUCCGUCACAUUUUCCUAGUAAGCUUUCAGGAAAUGAUCCAGUGAGCUUGUUGCCACCAGCAAGAAAUGCAUAAACAGUCUGCUUCUGCAAUCUCUCAGUUGCAAGAGGGAGGUGUUGGAUUGGACCAGUGAAGUUGUUACCACUAAAAUCAUGAAUCAUAGUGAAACUACCACCGGAAAGAGGCAAAUGACUAUCAAGCUGAGUUUGGCAAGUAAAGAGCACUUGAUAUGGAAAUGAUAGAUUGUUGACUCGGACACGAUCUGAAUUUGGGAGCACCUGGGGGCAUGCUCUGUACAGAAACUCGGGCACAGGUCCAGACAUGAAGUUUCCACUGACAUUGAAAACAGUCAUACAUGGAACUGGAAACUUCUCAUCAAUCUUCCCACUCAGCUUAUUUGAUCCCAAAUUUAGAUAAUGCAGCUUCUUGCAUCUUUCAAAUACUCCAGUGACUUCUCCGCUGAAAAGGUUCUGAGCUAAGUUCAACAUUUCCAAGUUCUCACAACCACUCCAAUUGCUCGGAAGCUUUCCCUCAAGUGUUGCCCUUGGAGCCCAAACUAUUUUCAAAUUUGGAAGGGUUGUAAUUUCCUCCGGAAAAGAGCCUUCGUAAUAAUUGUAAUCAUCGUCCAAACCACUAGAUAAAACAAUUGAUGUAUCUCCUUUUGUAUUCUGAUUGGUUGUCAAUGGAUUAAAAAGAUUCGAUAGGACAAGAACAGAUAAAUUGACACAUUGUCCAAGCUCAGCAGGGAUUGGCCCGCUAAGGCUAUUUCUUGAAACAUCUAGAACUUCAAGCAUUCGAAUCCAACCAAGUUCUAGAGGAAUGCUACCAGCCAAUAUAUUCGAAAACAACAAAAGAGUCCGUAAACUCCGACAAUUCCCCAAACUACCAGGAAUCUUCCCAUCAAGGAAAUUCCCCGACACAUCAAGAUGUUCAAGAUUUUGACAAAAGCUUCCAAAUGUGGCUGGUAUAGACCCAUUUAACCUAUUUUGAGCCAAAUAAAGUCCCUGCAACUUCGCAAAACUACCAACAAACCCAGGAAUGGUUCCACUCACUUCAUUGCCUACCAAAUUCAACACCUCCAAAUCCACACAUCUUGAAAGCGAAAUAGGAAUCUCCCCACCAAUUCUAUUAAACCCAAGAUUCAAAACCCUCAACAUCCUUAAACCCGAAAACUGGGUUGGCAAACUUCCGUUCAACAAAUUCCCCUCAAGAUCAAGCACUUCAAGCUUCUCCAACCCCCAAAUUUCCUUCGGAAUUUCGCCACCAAGUUCAUUAAAUGGCAGCGAUAAAACUCUAAGCUCAGUGAGCUUUCCCACCCAAGGCGAAACCUUUCCACCCAAUUUUCCACUAAUAACUAAACUUUUCCUCCAAACAGCGAACUCAUCAAACGGAAAUGGAAAUUUCAAACUCUGAGAGCAAGAGAGAGCUCGAAAAUUACCUCCUUUGCCACUGCUGCCGCCGAGACUAAGCGAAACGACCCUGGAUUUGUCGUUGCAGGAGACCCCGACCCAAGAGCAGUGGUGAUCGAAGCUGUUGGAUAUCCAGCCGGAGAGAACCCCAUGCGGGUCGGAAAACGAGCUCUUGAUCUCGAGCAAAAUCGACUUCUCAGAAACCGGCGCUUCCCCAGAAACGCAACUCAAUAAGCAGAAGGCGUUGAGAAAAAGCGCGGUUUUGAAAAGCAUAUGGCAUUUCAUUUUCUCGGGAGCAAAGGGUAAGAUCGCGUUUGGCUUUUGGCUUUUGCCUUCUUGUUUCUUCGUCUUCUGUAAUCCGCUUCUUCUGCUUCUGGGAGAAGACGAAGACUGAAGACUCAGGUCUUCGGGGGUGUCUGUUUCUGCGAAUUUUGUUGAAUUGAAUUUUAAUUUUAUUGGGUUUGGGUUGGAAAAUUCAAUGACCCGGGGGGGAAGACCGUGGGUGGGCCCCGGGGGACUUUAAGGCUGUGGGGACCAUUGUCGGUCAAUGAUUGCAUAAGUCAACAGAUGCGGAUAGUGGGGCCCUGCAUGCCUGUCCAAGUGGCGGUCUGUAUCUGCCAUCCUGCCGUUAAACGCAUAAUUAUUUUUUAAUUUAGGAAAAUAGACAACUUGAGACGUCUUAAUGACACAAAAAUUACAUCAUUACAUAAAUAAUUGCAAGAAUAAUAGUUGCAUUCUCUCUAUGGAGAAAUGCACAUAUGAGAAUGAAUUUUUAUUGUAUAAAUUUCAUAUUAAUUUUUAUUUAAAAUUAUUCAUACGAAAAAAACAGUCUAGUGUGUAUACAAAAAAACUGAGUGUUGUUCUUUAAAAAUCUGAGAUGCCUUUUAACAUUUGCCCUCGAAUUACUCGACGAAUUGUCUCUAUGGACACUGCGCAGGAUGGCUGCCAGACUCGUGCCAUUGUUGUGCUGCUAUGGGCAUCUAUUAGCACGCUCGUUCAAAAGCUAUUGACAUUAGUCAACAUGCUCGCUCAAUUAUUAUUGACAACAGUCCACAUGCUCGCUCGAAAGCUAUCAGCAUCUACUGACAAGUGUGUAAUAUUAAACUUUGAUAACGACCUCAGGCCUACCAAGACUUGAUGAAAUGCCAAUUUGCAUGCUAUUACGUCCAAAAAAAUUUACAAGCUAAGCGCGCUAUUCUCAACAACCCCAAUAAUAUUUCCUAAAUCCGCCAGUGUAUUAUUCGUACUAUCCAUUGUUGGUCAAAUCGCAAUAAAAAAUCUAUAGAUACAAAUUAUUCAAGAAAUUCUCAUACAAAUGAAUUAUAGUGUACAAAAUGUAAAUGGUUAAUCACGCUAUAAUGGUGUCCAAUGAAUUAUAUAUUUUAUCUUCAAAAAUUAAAAAUAAAAAACCGAAAAUCUCCCUCUCUAUUUGGUAUUUCUGGCUCUGGUGGCACACAGCCAUUGCCUUGGGGUCUCAAUGUCGUCACCUGUGGUUGUUGGCACGUGCCACUCCCCAUCCUCUGCUUCCUGUUUAAGGAUUUAUCAACAAUGCACUAUUUAACUAAACCAAAGGGAUCAGAUGACGCUUUAUCGCAAUGACAAAGAACAAUGAUGUUUAUUUGUUAAACAAUGAUGUUUGUUUGUUAAAAAAAAAAAACUAAACCAAAGGGAUCAGAUGACGCUUUAUCGCAAUGAUAAAGAAAAACCGGAUUAACGAAAAGAAAUGAGAUUAGUAUCAGCUGAUUAUCGCACCUGGAUUACAAUCGAAUACGGGGGUGGCAUAUGAAGGUUAAGUCCGCGCCUUGAUACGGACAAUCGAACCUGCAAUGUAAACGAACCAAUGUAACUGCACAGUUUCUGUUUUCGAAUUUCUUGUUACCGGCAUUGCCAUGCUAAUGUAAGAAAGAAAUCCAAUAGCAGCUAAGAUCCAGUUUCAAUUUUCUUCCCCCUUGUUAUCUUUGAGAAACUGGGGGAUGGUUUUGAAUACGGAUCCAAGCGAAGAAAAAAACCUCAAGCUCUUUGUGUAUGGACAACAAACGUCUACAUACAGAAGAUUCUUCUAAACUACGAAAACAAUAAUCAGCAGACGCAUGAUACCUGGUGUCUUUCCUUCCAUCUUGGGAAAAAGCUAGUCCCUAGAAGUUGGAACAAGUGGUCUCUCAUCUCAUCGUUCGUCACCAUCAAACACUUGCAAUUAACAGCAGCGUACAACCAGUACCUACAAAUCGCAUAGGACUACAUUUUAGGCACAGCUAAACUCGGUAAUAAGUAGAGACAAGUGUGAUUUUUCGACGAUUUAAGCCAUGGAAACAAAUUGCAGUAUAUAUCGACUACAACUAUUCAUGUCUAAUAACUCAGUCCAACCAUUUGAUUGGUCAAGAGAUGCAAACUUACCAAUCAUCAUUUGAACCAACUGGAGUAGAGUAAAGUGCACCGGACUUUUUCCAACUCUCUAACAAUCUCUUGUUAUUAGGAUUCUGAGCGGGACCACCAGUUACACGAUUUUGGUGCAAUAUAACAAGUGGCAAUCGCUUUGAUGGGCUCAUUUGGCGUAACCUGUUCACCAGAGUAUCGAGCUACGACAAAGAUGGAGUCACUAAGCAGCCCAUUCAUAUAUCUGAUACGAAGAAAUCAAAAGACAGAGUGUCACGAAACUAAUCAUAGUCUACCACUCACCUGGAAAAAGCUGAAAUUAUGUUGAUUGACCAGACCAACAUUGGCACCAUCUACAACAGCAUCGAAUGGACCAUGCCUUUGAAGCCACUCCUGGAUGAGUUUAACUUCUAAUCAAUCAGGACAGCUGACAAACAUAUUAUAUAUCAUUUGCCUGAAUCGAACAAAAUAAAAAGUAUAGACGAAUAAUGACUAAUUAUCGAAACCAACAUCAUGAAUACAUAACAGGAAAACACAAGAAACCUCUCCCUUACUGCUUCCCACACAAGGGGUUGGUGUUUUUCUAAUAAAGUUGUGCCUCCCAAUAAAGUUCCAUUUUUUGCCAGACCUAGUUACGAACUUAUUUAUUACACUAGUACCAGUAUCACACAAUCCAUAUAACUCCACAAGGCCCUCCAAGCGGAGCUCUCCUCGUCAAUGUAAAGAUAUGAAUAUAAAGAUGCAUAUCAAGCAAGUUAAAUCAUUUGAGCAAACCAGAUAAGUCAAUGCAAUCAUAUAUGCUAAACUUGCAUCAAGGGUAAACAUUUUUCUUAAAUCUUAGACACUGAAGACAAACAAACAAGGAAAGCAGAGUCACACCUGGAAUCGAAUGAAAUCACCCCGAACCUCCCUUUGGCUAGCCAAUUUGCUCAAAGAGGUAGCAAAAUUCUCGGUCUCUUUCGGAUCAAUGUCGAUAGAGACAAGCUUUUCGCCGCAACAAGAGCAUGUCCCUGCUUCAUCCAUCUGAGUCCUCUCCACUCUCCAAUUCCCACUCCCAAGCCACCCUUGCCCAUGCCACCCUCCACCUCCUCUAACAACCCCUUCCCUCACCUUAUUCACAUCCCAAGUCUCCACCCCAACUUUCGCCGCCUCCUCGGACUUAAACCACUCCUCCACCACCCCAUAAGUUGACUCCGAGACCUGCCUCACCGUGGUCCGCAACCGGUGCAACAUCUCAUAAACCUUGUCACCUCUGCUCGAAUCAGAACUAACUUUUAUCAAAGCAGUGAUCUCAGGUUCCUCCGCCACAACCCCGGAUUCAACCAUGUGAGCAUCAACCUCAUAAGCUCUAUCGGCCUCCCCCUUCUUACAGAACUCAAACAAUGCCGGACCGUAAGACCUCAAUUUCGGCGGAAGUCCUAAACCCUUCAUCUGCUUCACCAAAUGAAACGCCAUUUCCGGGUCCUCCCCCGCGAUUGCCAACCUCGCCGCGCUGGUAAAAGUGGCCUCAUUGGGGACAACCUUAUCCUCAACCAUCUGGCGAAAAAUCUCAAACCCCCUCUUCAAACCCAUAUCACCGUCAUCACCGCCGCCAUUGGAGGAGCAAAGGUAGAGCAAAACAUUGUAAUGGUGCAGGCUAAGCGGGACCCCAUUGCUCCUGGCCUCGUCGUAAAGGCUCAGAGCUUGGACCAGCUGGCCGUGCCUGGAGCACAUGUCUAGCUUGUGCCUAAGGACCCCCUCCGGAGAUUCCCGCCGCGCUUUCUUCAUGGCUUUGUUGGAAACCGCCGGAGACGACGGCGACGGCGAGUUAUCGGAGAGAGCCAGAGUGCAAAGGUUGAGUCUUUUGUCCAUGGAGAAGCUGUCGGUGGAAUUCAGGGUCGGUUUAGGUUUCGGGGAGCGGAGAAUUGGGCGGAAGAAACGGCUGGAGGUUCGGAAAAUUAGGGGGAGUGGGAUUUUGAUGAAGAAGGAGAAGAGCGGCGAGGUUCUUGGCAGAGCGCCGCCGUGCAACAUUUUUGUUUCUAUUUUUUGGGUUUUUUGUGAAAUUAUAAAUUGCAAUAGAAAGGAAGGAUUGGAUUAUGGAAAAUAAGUCGGAGGAUUUCGUCUGGCAUUCAUGUCUGCUCGGACAUGAACUGGGUGAGAAUUCCGCAGAGGUUUUGGAAAUCUCUGCACUUAAAACCCUAGCUAAAACUACUUGAUCGAGGAAACGACACGUCGUAAUAUCUUUAUCUUCUUUUUCUCAUAGGGAAAAGGCUUUGUAGCCAAAAUAAUUUUUAAGAAUACGUAUGUUAUAACUCCUCAUUUUGAUUUUGACAUUGAAAUUGAUAAAAAUGAUCCUGACUUCUGAGUACAUCCACCGUCAAAUAUUUCGAUCAUUCUGUGAAAACAUCUCUGUUAAUGGAAAAGUGUGAAAAUUCUCCGUUAAUAGAAAAACAAGUGGAUGAGUUGAUUGAACAAAAAUAACCUCAUUUUGGCUAAAAACGAAAUAGUUAUUAAGCGUUACUUUUUAGCUUUAUUUUGGUGAAGGGGGGAAGAAACUAAAAAUAAAAUGACUAUUCAAUGGAAAUUUUUAGCUUUGUUUUGGUGAAGGAGGAAGAAACUAAACAAAAAUGGUUUAUGCAACGAAAAUUUUUAGCUUUAUUUUGGUGAAAGGAGAAGAAACUAAAAACAAAAUGGUUAUUUAACGAAACUUUUUAGCAUUGUUUUGGUAAAAGGAGGAAGAAUCGUACAACCCACCGAAGUUAACUUUCAUCAAUGUCUUCAGCUUAUUUGGAUGUCCAGUUUCAAUGAGAUAACAAAUCAGCUAACGUAUACACCUAUAAAUCCAGUUCUUUCUUCUUCUUUUUUAUCAAUGUGUUCAACUAAGCAUUGUAUACCAGUUAAUUUGCUCUUCAAACAAGAUCCACAGCCAAGAAAUAACUUCCGACCAUGGCCAAUGAUGCGAUCCCGCUGCGAGCCAUCCGUAACCCAAGGCUGCGGAACAGGAGAUUCCUGUCUGAAUGGUGGAUCCCUGUAACUCUCUCAAACCUAUUCCCUGUUCUUUGCCAUUUCAGAAGCUUCCUCUCCGUCGAGACAUACUGCUCACCACAAAACACAAAUAUAUGACAUUCAUAAUCAAAGCAACCUUUAUAAAAGACGACACUCAUUGCUCAACAUCUUCUUGAAGUGAUGCUAGCAAGCGGCAUCUAAGUAUGAAUCAAGAUAGGUGUAUCGUGCCCAAACCCGACUAAACUUUGCUAAAAACCAGUAACAGACCUUGGGAAGCACGGUACAUUUUGAUCGAGAUUUGGCAGUGUCCAAACAAUGAGAAGCAGCUGCAGCAACAGAACCAGAUAUUCCAGCCGCAAUACUAACAGCCAAGGGAGAGGGUGGACCGAUUUCAUCAUCCGACCUAUGAGAAAGCAAGUUCACUUCACAAGGAAGGAAAAAUGGAAACAUAAAACAAUGCAACUUUGUCCAACAGGUGCUCCUUUUAGCAAUGCAAACAAUGGUACUUCAUGAUGUCAUUGAACUAAGAUACAGGUUAGUCGAUAGCAUGUUGCAUUAAUACCUGGGUUCAGGAUCCAUCCCCACCGCCUUCCAGUCAAGCAUUGCACGGUGCAGAGAUUGCCAAGUAGAAAAGAAUAUGCCACCAAAAACUGAAUCCCGAACAACUCCUGGCCGUAGACCUCUCCAUAAUGCACCCCAUCCUUCCAAAGAGAUGAUUUCAGAUGGUUUCCUGACACUGAACACUGAGGGUGGCUUCCCAGAUCCUGUCAUCAUCCAUGGGUACCCUUGUAAAGCACCCGUCAUAUUAGGAUGCUUGGUUGUUAGGGUGGAUAAAAGGGCAACAGAAGAAUUUAAUGCCUUCAUGUCUGGACUACACCCACGCAACAAAUUUUGAAUCACAGGUACAACAGCUCCCUUUUCUGGGAGAGGGGCCGAGUUUGGAAUGCAAGAAGCAGAGGUCACCUGGGCAUGAAGUUUCAUAAGAUCAAAGGGAGAGCUUAUUAGUGAUUCUGCAACACCAGCGACAAGUCCUGCCAGGAGGACCUCAGAGACGUAGACGUAGUUAUCUGCUCUACCAUCUACCAAAGAAGUAUUUGCGCAAGAAGAGAUGUCAGGAAGCUGUAAAUCAAAUCUAACAAAGAUAAAAUUUUGGUACCAUGUGUAUGCACAUAUUUAUUAUUAGUUACCCAAAAAUGAAGAGAACUACCUUUAUAAAAGGCAGUCAAAAUUUCAUAUGUUCCAAAACGAGCUCCCAACCCCAAAGUUCUUCCCGCUGCUAACCAUAGAAAACCAUUGUACAAACCUACAACAUGCAUCACAGGCCAAACUUAUCAGCAAGCACAACACUGGGUAGGAGAUGAAUCCUGUAAGCAUAAAUAGAAAGCAGUGGAGAAAACAACAGGACUUGAAAAAACUAAUGAAAAUCGGGGACGAACCUGAAUUUCCUGAAAAAUAUCGAACUCUCUUUAAAACCUAAGAAGUUGUCAAUUGAUUACUAGAUCCUGAACCAACCUGUUCUCUCAAAAAAGAAAACAAAUGAGGAUUCAGGUAAGAAGCAGAUUAUGACAUGGCUCUCCACAAAGCAAAAAACUUGUAAAGCAUCAGAAAUCUAGGCAAUGAUGCUGGGGAGCAAACCUGAAUAAGGGUUUUGAUUGUAUCAAGAGGGUAAGUAAGAGCUGUGCCUAAUGCCACCGACCCUACACCGGAAAGUGCAUGGAUUGCAAAUACAACUCCUCCAUCUAUAAAUUCAGUAAAUAUCAAAGAAAAAGUAAUAUUUAUAAUCAGCAGUUGAGAUAUAGCUUUAUAUCCCCAUUCAAUUUUUACUUGACAAAGAUUUCUUUGUAACGCUGUUCCACACAUGUACUCGACAAUUUUCAGAUACAAAUGCUUGACAGUCGGUAACGCAUAAGCAAACAAUAAGCAGGCAUUGUGCAAAAAUAUUGCAGAAUCAAAACCAACACUCAGACCACAGACCGACCCGAAUGCUCAGAAAAAAUAUUUUGUCUUUCUAACUGGAACCCAGUAGGCAGAAACGAAGACCCAAUACAAUAUACACAAACAUUGGUCCCUUUGCGGCACUUAAACAAACACCUUGUCUGCAAUAUCCUACAAAGAUGAAAACCCGAUAAACUGACAGGAAAAUGACGUAACCAUGUACAAAAAAUGCUUAAAACGAGUGUUUAGCAAUUAGCAUUCGAUGUUUGAAAUCUCAUCGGAAAAUAUGUUACCGGCUCCGGCGCUGUUCAUGUCACUUUCUUUUUCGUUUCCCUUCUUCAAAUUCUUCUGUGAAUUUUCAGCUCUCAACAAUUUUAUAUGAAGGCGGAAAUGCAAGAUUACUGAAAGAAAUUCAACUGCAAUCGCAAAACGUUUUAUUUUUAUUUCUGAGGUUCAAAAGUACGAUCGAAGCUCUGGAGCUGCGGAGCACCGCGGAGCAGCGAGAGCACUUCAGCAACGGAGGAGCUGAGGAGGGAAUGGAAGAUUGGUUUUUUGGGCCUGAGACCUUUCAGUCGAAGCCCAAAUCAUAUUUGAUAACGCCCCGUUCAAUGAUAUUUUAAACUACUCUAAUUUAUAAAAUAAGAAUUCACAAGAAAAAAAUAAAAUAUAUGAUAAGGAUUCAAGCUUAGGUGCGAGGACUAAGGGGACGGGCACACUGUCAGACUACCUUGAAACGACAACGAAAGUUUCAAAAUCGACAACGAAGUGUUUUGAGGACUUUCUGGAACAGCUUUAUACACAGCAUGCCUUUGUAACGCGGAGCGUUGCAGAUUUCGGGUGGUAUUCCGAAAGGGAGCUCACAAGUAACAAGUUUCCCUGUUGUAUGCUAAUGCACGUAUUAUGGGAUGUAUUAAACCUACUGGAAAUUACACGGUACACCGGAAAGAAAGAUCUGAACCUGAAACUAGAACUUGCAACUAAAUUCUCUGAUCCAGAAGACAUCGCUAACUAUCGAUCAGCGAUUGAAUUCGCUGACAAUCUCGUGUAAACUGUACAUACUUUUCUCAGUACAAGUAUCUGAAGGGAAGGUUAGGCAUUCAUUAUAUGGACAAGGAGGAGGCUUACAUAGUCCAUGGCGCUUACAUUUCUCAACAACAGCAACAAUAAGAACAACAAUGACGCCGGUGACAAGAACAACCCCACUUGAACCAAGAAAAGCAACGAAACCAAUAGGUGACUUUUGAUUUGGUCACUUUUUUAGGCGAUAAUCUGACUGGUGGUUGUGGCGGCGGCUGCUCCAGACACGGCUCAGUAGCCUUCACAGAACUUUUCAUCCCAUCUGUCAAUCUGCAUAACAGAAUGCACAUACCAGUCACAGACCAUAGAUUUUGAGCAAAAUGGAAAGAUAACAAAUGCAUUCAUGAUUGUUGAAGAAAAUUUAUGUUUUCACUUAAAGCCCGACGAAUGGCCACCAUAGCUAAAAAGACAUGCAUACAUGGUUGAAAAAAUACAACACAAUCUCUUUUGGCUACAGCUCCACGGAUAGCAGAACACCCAGCUACAGUUAGAACAAUAGCAGCUUGGCCAUGUAACAUAGCAGAACGCCCGGCUACAAUUAGAACAGUAGCACAAUGGCUAUGCACGCUUCUUUAUUCUGCAAUAAACAAAGGGUGCAUUCUUCAUGGACCAAGUUCAGGGUCUUGGAUCUUGGCCAAUAAAAGGAAUGUUUUAGGUUUGUGAACUUUGUUACUACUAUGCAUACAGGAACAGACAUACAGAUGAUGUCUCCUUCCUGUACGCACAAAAUUCUGUAGGCAGGCAUAUGUCGGAAUUUUGUGUGUGCAUGAGCAUAUUACACAUACGAAACUGCAUGUAGGCUCAUCCUAAAAUAAGAAUGCAUUACAUCCAAUAGAAAAGUAGGGUACAUCCAUGCACAAUUCACCUUAGAUAAUGUAUAUAGACGUACAUUGGGAAGGCAAAAGAGCGUGUGCUAGUCCCACUCCCAUCAGAACGGCGAGAGAGGCUAGGGGAUUUUCCAAAUACAGUUGGCGGUUGUACCCUUCCCUCACUAUGAUCUUCAGCAUUUGCUCUUGCUAUGUCCUUGAUGGUCUCAUCUGCCACUCCAACUCCAGAUUUCCUCACUUCUUCAAUCCUGUCACUUUCAAUUUCUACCGCUGGAACUGGAAGAGCUGGAUUGAGCGAAAACAACUCGCCUGAUUUGUACAGUUCCCCAGACUUGCCCAAAUCACCGAGAAAAAAUGUGUGGUCUCUGGAAAAGCUGUUGUUGCCUAAAUGAAUGCUAAACAAUGACUCAUUGGAUGCAACACUCCAAUCCAUUUCUUUGUUGGAUUUACUUGUUGAAAACACAGAAGUCGGGAUCCUGUAAGGAUCAUAUCCACCACACCGAUCCAUAGUUUGGAUUGAAGGGGAAUCUGUUGGUGACAAACCAGGCACCAUGGACCCAUGGGUGACAUCAGAAGCUCGGGAUGUUGAUGCGGGACCUACAAUGUUAUAGUCAUCAUGUUUAGAGACGGAAGCAGUAUGUGUUGAAGUUGUAAUUCUGUUUGUAUCCACUUGGAAUAGAUCUUCCAAUGACGAGUCUGAUGCCAACGAAGACAAAGAGGAUAUAGAGAUUAGUCUUCUGGUUGGGACAGGACCACCUUCAUUAGCAGUAGCCUCUGGAAGUAUUGUUAAAUGGCUACUGCUAUCACUCCCAUCAACAACCUUUGGUGUUUCAGGGUGCUUACUGCCUUCACUCCCAUCAACAACUCGUUCUGACUUCUCGCUGUUCUUGCUUCGAGGUUCCAAGUCCAUUACUGAAACAAUGCCCGAAACAAAUUUCAUAACAGAAAUAAUUGAUAAAUUUUGCCUUCAAAUGCCAAAAUUAUCUCUUCUAAAGUACUUAAUCCAGAGUGAAAUGAUAUGGAUUUCCAACUUGGUUUCAUGAAUAAAACAUAACUAUGAUUUGCAAGCUUGGAAAUGCUUCGCGAAACACGCCUAUCUAGAUAAUAUGACAUUAUCAAUUUUAUAUCUUAUCCGACUUGACUUCUCAUUCCGAGCAAGUAAACACGUUACACGUCAAUGACAUGAAUGAGUACAACAACAACAACAAUCAAGCCUUAUCCGGCUGUAUGAAUCCUAGAAUGUCACUGCGCCCGGUUUUGCAAUCAAAUCUUCCAUUAGCUAAUGACAUGAAUGUGUAAUGAAACCAAAAGCUUAAGACCUAAAAUAUUUACAAUUUCAUGAAUUCUCGUGUCAACAAUUUACCAAUGUACCUGCAUUAGCUAUCAUUUCAUGGAAACAAAAAUCAAAUAAUAAACAGAGAAAAAAUGUCCUUCCUCCAUAAAAUUCUUAAAAAUUAAUUUUCAUAUAAAGGAUAUGAAUUUGAUAGCUAAAUUCAAAUUGAUUAAAAAAUUAAAUAAAAUAGAUAACAAAGGAAAGAAGCUCACCUGAAUCAUUAGAAAUAAGCCCUUAAAAUUCCCAAUUCCAUAUGAUCCUAUCGGCGAUCAGCAUUCCUCUGCCUCCUCCUCGCCUCGAUUUCAUAUAUAUUUUUGGUAGAAUUAAACCUUCCCUCGCCUCAAUUGAAUUACUAAAUUCCCAAAUAAAUUAAAAACAUUUUAAAAAAAAUCUUCAAAAACAAAUUGAAUGCGUAAGAAAGGAGAAAACCCCUAUGAUUGCUAAACCCUAAGUUUGAUAAAUAUAAACAAAUAAAUAAAUGAAAUUAGGAGUGAAAGUUGUGGCCGUUGAAUAUCUGAAUUUGUGGUUUUUGGGAUAUAAUAAUUGAUGUUAAAAAAUUAGGGUUUGUGAGUGGGAAAAUCUGGCGACGGAAGGCGCCGCGAAACUUUCGGCGGUUCUUUGGGUUGCCUCCGUAUCUGUAAGCCUUUCGCGCCAUCUUUAACUUUCUGUUACCUUCUUUGGGCGCUGGAAGGCCAAUCUUAUGCUCGCCUACUAUUCCGGUUGCCGGGACUCAUCCACUAGCGUGAUGCCACGUAGUAGGAGGACAAGGGCGUCGUAGUUAUAUAGUUAGUUCUGAAAAUAUAAACUACGUGUAUGCUACAUAUUAAUAAAAUUUUAUUUGUCGAUCAAAAAGGGUGAGAAAACUAUUUAAUUUUCUAUCACAAAAUUAAAAAAAAUUAAAGACAGUAACGUAAUUUUAUAAAAUAAAUUUUACUAUUUUUUUGUUUAAAUAUCACCUACAGGUGUUUUUAAUAUCUUUAUUUUUUAAAUUUUUAAAUAAAUAAAUAAAUCCCUCUCUCCCCACUUUCUCUCUCUCUCUCUCUCUCUCUCUUUAUUCAAUUUUAAAAACAAAAUAAAAAAAUUCACAAGUGUGGGGAUAUGUUAGUUCUUAUUAUUUUAUUUUAUUUUUACUCGUAUAUAUUAACGAAACUUCGUAUGUCUAUCCAAGAUCAAUAAAAUUACUAUUAUACCCUUAAGAUAUAAUUGAAAGAAAAUAUUAGAAAAGAAAAAAAAAUAUAUGAGCAUUAAAAUAAUUUCUCAAGUUUUAGUUGUUUUUUUCGAAACCUCACAGCCAUGUACACUUAUUGAUACAAACCUCACAUCUCUCUCCCCCCUAACUGUCAACCCCUUUUCUUCGACGUUUGCUCGUUAAAAAAAAAAAAAAAAAAAAAAAAAAAAAAAAAAAAAACUCAUUCUAUAAAAGAAAUUAAAAAAAAACAAGAAAAAUAAAAAAAUGUUUUACACACAAAAGUGUGUGGCCUUUGCUACCAUAUAUUAGAGGAAUGAGAAAAACUUUAGAAAAAAUCCUUGCGACUUGUAAGCAAUUUAUGUAAAUUAGGAUGAAAAUGCUAUAAAGUGAUUUGAAUGUAAUAAAAGUUGAUAAGGGAAGUAUAAAGGUUGGGCUAGAGAAAUGCUAAGAAGACUAUCAAAAGUGAGAUUUUAAGAAACAUUUUAUAUUUUUCUGUCACCUUAUGUUUUUUGCAGAAUAUUUAUAAUAUUGAUACGAAAAUUAACCUUAAAAUGUAGCAGAAAAUUCAUAGAGAGUCUCUUUAGUAUUUGUCUUUUAACAUGAUAAAUUUGUUUGUGAGGUGUUAUUAGUACUUUAAAAAUCUCAUUAUUCAUUCCUCACAAGCGUAUUUUUCUUUCUAAAUAUAAAAAAUUUAAAAUAUAGAAUGAGAUUUUUAGAGUGCUGAUAACAAUGUUGAAAACAAUUGACGUUGUCAAGUGUGUGUUGAAAUAAGUGUUUGUUCGAUUCAAAUCACGAGUUUGUUAGACAGGUGACAAAUGAAUCCGCGGAUAGGGACACUAGCAUUAACCCAUUAAAAUUCUCUAAUUAUUAUAAUAUUAGAUAAUAAAAAAUAAAAUUAAAAAGGAAACGGGGGCGGGGGCGGGGGCGGGGGCGGAAGGCGGGUUGCUAUCUCAGCUUUCCCGGAGUAGUGUCAUCGGCCUCUCCUGUCUCACUAAGACCAGGAAGCACAUCCUCCGCUUCUCUCAAUCUUGAGCUACCCACCAUUUCCAAUCCCGGGUCGGAAUCCCGAGCUCUUUCCUCAAUGUAAUUAUCGUUAAUCUUCGGUUUUUUAGAUUCUCUAUCACUUGCUGAUUUCUUCGAUGAGUUUCUCUAAUUGUUUAGUAAACUAUAUAGUUUGAACUAAUGAUGGAUUGGAUUGGAUUAUAUUGGAUUGAAUUUAGCUUCUUCUGCUCGAGACUGUUUGAGCAAUUUUUUAUUUUAUUUUUAUUUUUUAUUUAUAGAAAUUGGAUCAGCUAAAUGAGUUGUAUUAGGCCUUCGUUUGGCAGCUAUGACUAUACCUACUAUUUCAGUCAGAUGAUAAAUAGUCAUCGGAUAGUACUGACUAAAUUAGUCAGGCUGAUUAAUAUGUGCUUCGGAUAAUACGUCAGACUAUAAUAAUUUUUCUAAAUGAUUUUCACAGAAAACCAAGAAGAAUUUAAAGUUCCGUUCUUUUUCUUGUUUGCAAUGAGUAGGGUUCAUCAGCUGAUACUUUCUGCAUUCAAAGUUGCUUUCUUUAUUUGUAUUUUUGAUGAAAUUAUGAUGUUGAAUUUACAAUUUUCCGAUUCUGAAUUUAGAUAUGCGCCAAGAACAUGAUGCGCAUAGAUAUGGUGGUUGCACUUUCAUAGAUAGAACUCCGCCGAUAACUAGGUUGCUCAAACAUGAAUGUGGUUGCUUGGGCUGCAUUUUAGUACAGUUUGAUAUGCACCGACGUGUAAGUUUCCUUCUUCCUGGUUUUGGAUUGGAACCGAAGAAGGGUGAAUAAAAUCCAAUGGAAGGAUCGCGAUCGCGAACCCCUUUACUUCCUUCUGAUCUUCCAGAAUCCACCUCCUCUAAUAAUACUGGAAGCGCUCGUGGGCUGUCUGGUAUUCAGGGACUGAAGAAGAGAGGUCAUGGAAGUCGUUCUUGGAUAAAGAUUGAUCUGCAUGGGAAUAUAAGCAUUUUGGAGCUUGACAAAGCUACUAUAAUGAGACAUUGUUCGUUGCCUGGCAGAGAUCUCCGACUUUUGGAUCCUUUGUUCAUUCACCCUUCUACAAUACUAGGAAGGGAGAAAGCUAUUGUUGUUAGUCUUGAACAGAUCAGGUGUAUAAUCACUGCUGACGAUGUUAUCCUGAUGAAUUCCCUGGAUGAAAGUGUUGCUCAGUACAAGUUUGAAUUGUGCAAACGCCUAGAGUCAAACGAAGAUCAAUCUGGUACGGAAACUACUUCUACAUAAUAACUCAUAUUUUUUACUGCCUUGGGUUUUACUCGUAGUUUUCCGAUGUAUGUGAGUAAGAAAUCGAUGUUGAAUGCAUUUCUAACGAGUCUAAUUUGAUUCAGAUGACUUGCCUUUCGAGUUCAGAGCAUUGGAGCUGGCUUUGGAGCUAACCUGCAUGUCUCUAGAUGCUCAGGUAUCAAUCUAUUUGCAGCACAACCCUAUCAACCAAUUUUGGUACAUGUUUCAUUUAUGUUUUAGAUAACCCCAGGAAGUUCUUUGUUCACUAUGUUCUGGUGGUAUAGCUAUCCCCAGAUUGGUAGAGUCCCUAGUCAUGUAUUUAUUAUUGGUCAUAACUCUAUAUGUAAUUUUGUUGUGAAUUCAUAUAUCAUAUGAAGUAAAAAUUGACAAAAACCAGGAAAGGAAGCAGGAUCAUCAUCAGCACAAAUCCAUUAUGUUAAUGAAGUUGUUCAUCAAUGUGAUAGGCACAGCAACUGCAAAUGGAGAUAUACCCUGUGCUGGAUGAACUAGCAUCAUCGAUAAACACUGUUAAUCUGGAGCGUGUGCGUAGACUCAAAGGUCACCUCCUUGCAUUGACUCAACGAGUUCAGAAGGUAAGGUAAUUCUAUUGGCAACCAAAAAUUUGCUCUCUGAACCUCAAAAGAAGUAGUAGCAUCUUCAUUUUACUCUCAUUCGUUUCUGUUUUAGAGAGAAUUUUUUUAAUAUACGUGUUCUCUGCUCUUCAUCUCCUCAUUAUAAUUGCUUUUAAUUUAUCUAGGUCCGUGACGAAAUAGAACAUCUCAUGGAUGAUGACGGUGAUAUGGCUGAGAUGUACCUUACUGAGAAGAAACAACGGUCAGAGGGUUAUCCCUCUAGUGACCUUGGUUUUCAAACUAACACAUCACGCGAGGAAACAAUUGUUUCAAAAUCUGCUCCUGUUUCUCCAGUGGGGUCAUUCAGUGGAACACAUAAAUUGCAAAGGGCUUUUACCAGUUUUGUGAGUUCAAGCAGGCAGGGAAGCUUAUUGAGUUCGUCUAAUGGCGGAGAAAACAUUGAUAAACUGGAAAUGCUGCUUGAAGCAUACUUUGUUGUCAUCGACCAUACUCUCAGCAAGUUGUUAUCGGUAUGAGAUGUUUUACGUUCAGUGAAUACUUUAUCUAUUUAUUGGCUUGAAAGAAUGCAGUGGUGGUAUGAAGAUUUGAUUAAAUAUUAAACUGGCAAUAAGUGAUUGACAACAGCAUAUGUCUUGUUUUGGUUAUGCAGCUGAAAGAAUACAUAGAUGAUACCGAAGACUUGAUUAACAUUAAACUGGUA